AUGAACGCUAGCGACAGGCCUAACACAUGCAAGUCAGGGGCAGCACAAGGAGCAAUCUGAGGUGGCGACCGGCGCACGGGUGAGUAACACGUAUGCAACCUGCCUGUAAGCGGGGAAUAACCCGUUGAAAGACGGACUAAUACCGCAUAAUACUAAAUUACUGCAUGGUAAUUUAUUUAAACAUUUAUGGCUUACAGAUGGGCAUGCGCAUGAUUAGCUAGUUGGAGAGGUAACGGCUCCCCAAGGCAACGAUCAUUAGGGGUUCUGAGAGGAAGGUCCCCCACACCGGUACUGAGACACGGACCAGACUCCUACGGGAGGCAGCAGUGAGGAAUAUUGGUCAAUGGACGAGAGUCUGAACCAGCCAAGUCGCGUGCAGGAAGAAUGUCCUUAAUGGAUUGUAAACUGCUUUUGCAGGGGAAUAAAGUGCAUCACGUGUGAUGUUUUGUAUGUACUCUGCGAAUAAGGAUCGGCUAACUCCGUGCCAGCAGCGGC
Molecule: ribosomal RNA, 495 nt
Filed under: uncultured bacterium
Lineage: Bacteria
Description: bacterial SSU rRNA
Rfam family: Bacterial small subunit ribosomal RNA
Source: RNAcentral